Molecule: ribosomal RNA, 429 nt
Filed under: Pseudomonadota bacterium
Lineage: Bacteria; Pseudomonadati; Pseudomonadota
Description: Proteobacteria bacterium partial 16S ribosomal RNA
Rfam family: Bacterial small subunit ribosomal RNA
Source: RNAcentral
UGGGGAAUAUUGGACAAUGGGCGAAAGCCUGAUCCAGCCAUGCCGCGUGUGUGAAGAAGGUCUUCGGAUUGUAAAGCACUUUAAGUUGGGAGGAAGGGCAGUAAGCGAAUACCUUGCUGUUUGGACGUUACCGACAGAAUAAGCACCGGCUAACUCUGUGCCAGCAGCCGCGGUAAUACAGAGGGUGCAAGCGUUAAUCGGAAUUACUGGGCGUAAAGCGCGCGUAGGUGGUUCGUUAAGUUGAAUGUGAAAGCCCCGGGCUCAACCUGGGAACUGCAUCCAAAACUGGCGAGCUAGAGUAGGGCAGAGGGUGGUGGAAUUUCCUGUGUAGCGGUGAAAUGCGUAGAUAUAGGAAGGAACACCAGUGGCGAAGGCGACCACCUGGGCUCAUACUGACACUGAGGUGCGAAAGCGUGGGGAGCAAACAGG